This 460-nucleotide ribosomal RNA is filed under the name uncultured bacterium. RNAcentral's name for it is "partial 16S ribosomal RNA". It matches the Rfam family "Bacterial small subunit ribosomal RNA", at positions 338 to 795 of the family's 1533-position model. The record is from RNAcentral.
CCUACGGGAGGCAGCAGUGAGGGAUAUUGGUCAAUGGACGAGAGUCUGAACCAGCCAAGUAGCGUGAAGGAUGACUGCCCUAUGGGUUGUAAACUUCUUUUAUAUGGGAAUAAAAUGUUCCACGUGUGGGAUUUUGUAUGUACCAUCUGAAUAAGGAUCGGCUAACUCCGUGCCAGCAGCCGCGGUAAUACGGAGGAUCCGAGCGUUAUCCGGAUUUAUUGGGGUUAAAGGGAGCGUAGGUGGAUUGUUAAGUCAGUUGUGAAAGUUUGCGGCUAAACCGUAAAAUUGCAGUUGAAACUGGCAGUCUUGAGUACAGUAGAGGUGGGCGGAAUUCGUGGUGUAGCGGUGAAAUGCUUAGAUAUCACGAAGAACUCCGAUUGCGAAGGCAGUUCACUGGACUGCAACUGACACUGAGGCUCGAAAGUGUGGGUAUCAAACAGGAUUAGAUACCCCAGUAGUC